GACGAACGCUGGCGGCGUGCUUAACACAUGCAAGUCGAACGGAAAGGCCCUGCUUUUAGGGGGUGCUCUAGUUGCGAACGGGUGAGUAACACGUGAGUAACCUGCCAUUGACUUUGGGAUAACUUAAGGAAACUGGGGCUAAUACCGGAUAGGAUCUCCUGCUGCAUGGUGGGGGUUGGAAAGUUUCGGCGGUUGGGGAUGGACUCGCGGCGUAUCAGCUUGUUGGUGGGGUAGUGGAUUACCAAGGCUUGGACGGGUAGCCGGCCUGAGAGGGUGACCGGCUCAAUUGGGACUGAGAUACGGCACAGCCUCCUACGGGAGGCAGCAGUGGGGAAUAUUGCACUAGGGGAGGAAGCCUGAUGCAGCACAGCCGCGUGCGGGAUGACGGCCUUCGGGUUGUAAACCGCUUUCGCCUGUGACGAAGCGUGAGUGACGGUAAUGGGUAAAGAAGCACCGGCUAACUACGUG
This 468-nucleotide ribosomal RNA is filed under the name uncultured bacterium. RNAcentral's name for it is "partial 16S ribosomal RNA". It matches the Rfam family "Bacterial small subunit ribosomal RNA", at positions 28 to 507 of the family's 1533-position model. The record is from RNAcentral.